UAGGACUCUUACUCUAGCUGCUAACCAGGC
This 30-nucleotide non-coding RNA is filed under the name Mus musculus (house mouse). Lineage: Eukaryota; Metazoa; Chordata; Mammalia; Rodentia; Muridae. The record is from RNAcentral.